Molecule: long non-coding RNA, 4810 nt
Organism: Salvelinus fontinalis (brook trout)
Lineage: Eukaryota; Metazoa; Chordata; Actinopteri; Salmoniformes; Salmonidae
Exons: 3
Source: RefSeq, a predicted model, not a curated record
CCAAACACGCUACUGUUACCAGGAACCUGGAGGGGACAGAGUGCCAGGUAGGUAGAGACCCUGCACCUCCCCAAACACGCUACUGUUACCAGGAACCUGGAGGGGACAGAGUGCCAGGUAGGUAGAGACCCUGCACCUCCCCAAACACGCUACUGUUACCAGGAACCUGGAGGGGACAGAGUGCCAGGUAGGUAGAGACCCUGCCCCAAACACGCUACUGUUACCAGGAACCUGGAGGGGACAGAGUGCCAGGUAGGUAGAGACCCUGCACCUCCCCAAACACGCUACUGUUACCAGGAACCUGGAGGGGACAGAGUGCCAGGUAGGUAGAGACCCUGCCCCAAACACGCUACUGUUACCAGGAACCUGGAGGGGACAGAGUGCCAGGUAAGUAGAGACCCUGCCCCUCCCCAAACACGCUACUGUUACCAGGAACCUGGAGGGGACAGAGUGCCAGGUAGGUAGAGACCCUGCCCCAAACACGCUACUGUUACCAGGAACCUGGAGGGGACAGAGUGCCAGGUAGGUAGAGACCCUGCCCCAAACACGCUACUGUUACCAGGAACCUGGAGGGGACAGAGUGCCAGGUAGGUAGAGACCCUGCACCUCCCCAAACACGCUACUGUUACCAGGAACCUGGAGGGGACAGAGUGCCAGGUAGGUAGAGACCCUGCCCCAAACACGCUACUGUUACCAGGAACCUGGAGGGGACAGAGUGCCAGGUAGGUAGAGACCCUGCCCCAAACACGCUACUGUUACCAGGAACCUGGAGGGGACAGAGUGCCAGGUAGGUAGAGACCCUGCCCCAAACACGCUACUGUUACCAGGAACCUGGAGGGGACAGAGUACCAGGUAGGUAGAGACCCUGCCCCAAACACGCUACUGUUACCAGGAACCUGGAGGGGACAGAGUGCCAGGUAGGUAGAGACCCUGCACCUCCCCAAACACGCUACUGUUACCAGGAACCUGGAGGGGACAGAGUGCCAGGUAGGUAGAGACCCUGCCCCAAACACGCUACUGUUACCAGGAACCUGGAGGGGACAGAGUGUCAGGUAGGUAGAGACCCUGCCCCAAACACGCUACUGUUACCAGGAACCUGGAGGGGACAGAGUGCCAGGUAGGUAGAGACCCUGCCCCAAACACGCUACUGUUACCAGGAACCUGGAGGGGACAGAGUGCCAGGUAGGUAGAGACCCUGCCCCAAACACGCUACUGUUACCAGGAACCUGGAGGGGACAGAGUGCCAGGUAGGUAGAGACCCUGCCCCAAACACGCUACUGUUACCAGGAACCUGGAGGGGACAGAGUGCCAGGUAGGUAGAGACCCUGCCCCAAACACGCUACUGUUACCAGGAACCUGGAGGGGACAGAGUGCCAGGUAGGUAGAGACCCUGCACCUCCCCAAACACGCUACUGUUACCAGGAACCUGGAGGGGACAGAGUGCCAGGUAGGUAGAGACCCCGCACCUCCCCAAACACGCUACUGUUACCAGGAACCUGGAGGGGACAGAGUGCCAGGUAGGUAGAGACCCUGCCCCUCCCCAAACACGCUACUGUUACCAGGAACCUGGAGGGGACAGAGUGCCAGGUAGGUAGAGACCCUGCCCCAAACACGCUACUGUUACCAGGAACCUGGAGGGGACAGAGUGCCAGGUAGGUAGAGACCCUGCCCCAAACACGCUACUGUUACCAGGAACCUGGAGGGGACAGAGUGCCAGGUAGGUAGAGACCCUGCCCCAAACACGCUACUGUUACCAGGAACCUGGAGGGGACAGAGUGCCAGGUAGGUAGAGACCCUGCCCCAAACACGCUACUGUUACCAGGAACCUGGAGGGGACAGAGUGCCAGGUAGGUAGAGACCCUGCACCUCCCCAAACACGCUACUGUUACCAGGAACCUGGAGGGGACAGAGUGCCAGGUAGGUAGAGACCCUGCCCCAAACACGCUACUGUUACCAGGAACCUGGAGGGGACAGAGUGCCAGGUAGGUAGAGACCCUGCCCCAAACACGCUACUGUUACCAGGAACCUGGAGGGGACAGAGUGCCAGGUAGGUAGAGACCCCGCCCCAAACACGCUACUGUUACCAGGAACCUGGAGGGGACAGAGUGCCAGGUAGGUAGAGACCCUGCCCCAAACACGCUACUGUUACCAGGAACCUGGAGGGGACAGAGUGCCAGGUAGGUAGAGACCCUGCCCCAAACACGCUACUGUUACCAGGAACCUGGAGGGGACAGAGUGCCAGGUAGGUAGAGACCCUGCACCUCCCCAAACACGCUACUGUUACCAGGAACCUGGAGGGGACAGAGUGUCAGGUAGGUAGAGACCCUGCCCCAAACACGCUACUGUUACCAGGAACCUGGAGGGGACAGAGUGCCAGGUAGGUAGAGACCCCGCCCCAAACACGCUACUGUUACCAGGAACCUGGAGGGGACAGAGUGUCAGGUAGGUAGAGACCCUGCACCUCCCCAAACACGCUACUGUUACCAGGAACCUGGAGGGGACAGAGUGCCAGGUAGGUAGAGACCCUGCCCCAAACACGCUACUGUUACCAGGAACCUGGAGGGGACAGAGUGCCAGGUAGGUAGAGACCCUGCCCCAAACACGCUACUGUUACCAGGAACCUGGAGGGGACAGAGUGCCAGGUAGGUAGAGACCCUGCCCCAAACACGCUACUGUUACCAGGAACCUGGAGGGGACAGAGUGCCAGGUAGGUAGAGACCCUGCACCUCCCCAAACACGCUACUGUUACCAGGAACCUGGAGGGGACAGAGUGCCAGGUAGGUAGAGACCCUACCCCAAACACGCUACUGUUACCAGGAACCUGGAGGGGACAGAGUGCCAGGUAGGUAGAGACCCUGCCCCAAACACGCUACUGUUACCAGGAACCUGGAGGGGACAGAGUGUCAGGUAGGUAGAGACCCCGCCCCAAACACGCUACUGUUACCAGGAACCUGGAGGGGACAGAGUGCCAGGUAGGUAGAGACCCUGCACCUCCCCAAACACGCUACUGUUACCAGGAACCUGGAGGGGACAGAGUGCCAGGUAGGUAGAGACCCUGCCCCAAACACGCUACUGUUACCAGGAACCUGGAGGGGACAGAGUGCCAGGUAGGUAGAGACCCUGCCCCAAACACGCUACUGUUACCAGGAACCUGGAGGGGACAGAGUGUCAGGUAGGUAGAGACCCUGCACCUCCCCAAACACGCUACUGUUACCAGGAACCUGGAGGGGACAGAGUGCCAGGUAGGUAGAGACCCUGCACCUCCCCAAACACGCUACUGUUACCAGGAACCUGGAGGGGACAGAGUGUCAGGUAGGUAGAGACCCUGCCCCAAACACGCUACUGUUACCAGGAACCUGGAGGGGACAGAGUGCCAGGUAGGUAGAGACCCUGCACCUCCCCAAACACGCUACUGUUACCAGGAACCUGGAGGGGACAGAGUGCCAGGUAGGUAGAGACCCUGCCCCAAACACGCUACUGUUACCAGGAACCUGGAGGGGACAGAGUGCCAGGUAGGUAGAGACCCCGCCCCAAACACGCUACUGUUACCAGGAACCUGGAGGGGACAGAGUGCCAGGUAGGUAGAGACCCCGCCCCAAACACGCUACUGUUACCAGGAACCUGGAGGGGACAGAGUGCCAGGUAGGUAGAGACCCUGCCCCAAACACGCUACUGUUACCAGGAACCUGGAGGGGACAGAGUGCCAGGUAGGUAGAGACCCUGCACCUCCCCAAACACGCUACUGUUACCAGGAACCUGGAGGGGACAGAGUGCCAGGUAGGUAGAGACCCCGCCCCAAACACGCUACUGUUACCAGGAACCUGGAGGGGACAGAGUGCCAGGUAGGUAGAGACCCUGCCCCAAACACGCUACUGUUACCAGGAACCUGGAGGGGACAGAGUGCCAGGUAGGUAGAGACCCUGCACCUCCCCAAACACGCUACUGUUACCAGGAACCUGGAGGGGACAGAGUGUCAGGUAGGUAGAGACCCCGCCCCAAACACGCUACUGUUACCAGGAACCUGGAGGGGACAGAGUGCCAGGUAGGUAGAGACCCUGCCCCUCCCCAAACACGCUACUGUUACCAGGAACCUGGAGGGGACAGAGUGCCAGGUAGGUAGAGACCCUACCCCAAACACGCUACUGUUACCAGGAACCUGGAGGGGACAGAGUGCCAGGUAGGUAGAGACCCUGCACCUCCCCAAACACGCUACUGUUACCAGGAACCUGGAGGGGACAGAGUGCCAGGUAGGUAGAGACCCUACCCCAAACACGCUACUGUUACCAGGAACCUGGAGGGGACAGAGUGUCAGGUAGGUAGAGACCCUGCACCUCCCCAAACACGCUACUGUUACCAGGAACCUGGAGGGGACAGAGUGUCAGGUAGGUAGAGACCCUGCACCUCCCCAAACACGCUACUGUUACCAGGAACCUGGAGGGGACAGAGUGCCAGGUAGGUAGAGACCCUGCACCUCCCCAAACACGCUACUGUUACCAGGAACCUGGAGGGGACAGAGUGCCAGGUAGGUAGAGACCCUGCCCCAAACACGCUACUGUUACCAGGAACCUGGAGGGGACAGAGUGCCAGGUAGGUAGAGACCCCGCCCCAAACACGCUACUGUUACCAGGAACCUGGAGGGGACAGAGUGCCAGGUAGGUAGAGACCCUGCCCCAAACACGCUACUGUUACCAGGAACCUGGAGGGGACAGAGUGCCAGGUAGGUAGAGACCCUGCCCCAAACACGCUACUGUUACCAGGAACCUGGAGGGGACAGAGUGCCAGGUAAGUAGAGACCCUGCACCUCCCCAAA